Molecule: non-coding RNA, 69 nt
Organism: Podarcis lilfordi (Lilford's wall lizard)
Lineage: Eukaryota; Metazoa; Chordata; Lepidosauria; Squamata; Lacertidae
Source: the annotation of a GenBank genome assembly
GGAUAGUUCAGUUGGCAGAGCAUGAGACUCCUAAUCUAAGGGCUGUGGAUUCAAGCCCCACGUUGAGUG